GAUGAACGCUGGCGGCGUGCCUAAUACAUGCAAGUCGAGCGAACAGACGAGGAGCUUGCUCCUCUGACGUUAGCGGCGGACGGGUGAGUAACACGUGGAUAACCUACCUAUAAGACUGGGAUAACUUCGGGAAACCGGAGCUAAUACCGGAUAAUAUAUUGAACCGCAUGGUUCAAUAGUGAAAGACGGUUUUGCUGUCACUUAUAGAUGGAUCCGCGCCGCAUUAGCUAGUUGGUAAGGUAACGGCUUACCAAGGCGACGAUGCGUAGCCGACCUGAGAGUGUGAUCGGCCACACUGGAACUGAGGCACGGUCCAGACUCCUACGGGAGGCAGCAGUAGGGAAUCUUCCGCAAUGGGCGAAAGCCUGACGGAGCAACGCCGCGUGAGUGAUGAAGGUCUUCGGAUCGUAAAACUCUGUUAUUAGGGAAGAACAAAUGUGUAAGUAACUAUGCACGUCUUGACGGUACCUAAUCAGAAAGCCACGGCUAACUACGUG
Molecule: ribosomal RNA, 497 nt
Filed under: uncultured bacterium
Lineage: Bacteria
Description: partial 16S ribosomal RNA
Rfam family: Bacterial small subunit ribosomal RNA
Source: RNAcentral